GAAAGACAUAGUCAAAUUCAUAAUAAAAAACAUGUAGAGAAGCAGAACGAUAAAACUAUUUUUGGUGGUUGAAUAGAUCUUCUUCUUGCUUUCUUGAUGAUUUCUUGCCUCGUCCUCUUGAGUUCCCCUUGAAAUUGGUCUUUGGGGUAGUAUUUAUAGUAUCUUGAAAUCUUGGAUGAAUUGGGGAUGAGUUAAGCUUUAAAAAGAGUUUUAAAAAAUUAAAACUUAUUUCUGCCCCGAUGGUACCCAACCUUGGUUUUGCAGCGCUUCAGCCGCCGCGAUCUCAAUUGAACAGGUAAUGUGGUGCCUAUGUUCUAUAAUUUUCUUCUGGGUUUGGAUGCGGGUGGAUCUGCAUUUGAUUAUCGAGAAUGGGCAUCGGGCAGCCUAGUCUAUGGUGCCUUGGCACCUAGUCAUGUUGCAUUUUUCUAUUGAGCCACGAUACCGCUUCUUCCUUUGAUUUCUUUGCCUUUUGUUUCUUCUUCUCCUUAACUUAUUUCAUUGCCUCAUCAAAAUCAUCUUUGGUUCAUUUUCAAGCUCCACAAUUCACCAUUUUCACCAAUCUACCUCACCUAUAAAACGUUAAAACACAUUAAAACUUUCUAAAUACUCAUAAUGAUAACCCAAUUAACAAGGUUAAAUGGCGUUAAAACUACGAGUGAAACACACACAUCAAACAGAUCCAAAAUUAAUACAUUGCUAGUGCUCG
Molecule: long non-coding RNA, 706 nt
Filed under: Olea europaea subsp. europaea
Lineage: Eukaryota; Viridiplantae; Streptophyta; Magnoliopsida; Lamiales; Oleaceae
Source: RNAcentral